Molecule: ribosomal RNA, 433 nt
Filed under: uncultured bacterium
Lineage: Bacteria
Description: partial 16S ribosomal RNA
Rfam family: Bacterial small subunit ribosomal RNA
Source: RNAcentral
AACGAACGCUGGCGGCAUGCCUAACACAUGCAAGUCGAACGAGACCUUCGGGUCUAGUGGCGCACGGGUGCGUAACGCGUGGGAACCUGCCCUUAGGUUCGGAAUAACUCCCCGAAAGGGGUGCUAAUACCGGAUAAUGUCUUCGGACCAAAGGUUUAUCGCCUUUGGAUGGUCCCGCGUUGGAUUAGCUAGUUGGUAGGGUAAAAGCCUACCAAGGCGACGAUCCAUAGCUGGUCUGAGAGGAUGAUCAGCCACACUGGGACUGAGACACGGCCCAGACUACUACGGGAGGCAGCAGUGGGGAAUAUUGGAAAAUGGGCGAAAGCCUGAUCAAGCAAUGCCGCGUGAGUGAUGAAGGCAUUAGGGUUGUAAAGCUCUUUUACCCGGGAUGAUAAUGACAGUACCGGGAGAAUAAGCUCCGGCUAACUCCGUG